RNAcentral lists this long non-coding RNA (278 nucleotides) under Rhipicephalus microplus (southern cattle tick). RNAcentral describes it as "uncharacterized LOC119173452". The record is from RNAcentral. Lineage: Eukaryota; Metazoa; Arthropoda; Arachnida; Ixodida; Ixodidae.
UUUUAUACAGCAGGCCGAGUCGGUAGAAGUGUUACUGGCGCAGCCUCCAAUCGGUCUAAAGGGGAGGCGAAAUCUCCCUAGGAGAAAGAAACAUAUGCUGUGUUUUCAGAUUUCUUCAACCAUUUUUUUGAAGCACACCGUUCUGAUUGGAGAGGUUGAGCAAAUGAAGAAGCUCCUCAAUAAAGCUUUGGCAAACAAAAUUAAUUACUUUAUGAAAUCAAAAGAUUAACCAAGGAAUGGCACAUCAAAUAAAAUAUUUUGUUUGAUUUCUGUGUUCA